GCAUAUCAAUAAGCGGAGGAAAAGAAACUAACAAGGAUUCCCCUAGUAACUGCGAGUGAAGCGGGAAAAGCUCAAAUUUAAAAUCUGGCAGUCUUUGGCUGUCCGAGUUGUAAUCUGGAGAAGCGUCUUCCGCGCUGGACCGUGUACAAGUCUCCUGGAACGGAGCGUCAUAGAGGGUGAGAAUCCCGUCUUUGACACGGACUACCAGUGCUUUGUGAUGCGCUCUCAAAGAGUCGAGUUGUUUGGGAAUGCAGCUCAAAAUGGGUGGUAAACUCCAUCUAAAGCUAAAUAUUGGCGAGAGACCGAUAGCGAACAAGUACCGUGAGGGAAAGAUGAAAAGCACUUUGGAAAGAGAGUUAAACAGUACGUGAAAUUGCUGAAAGGGAAACGCUUGAAGUCAGUCGCGUUUGCUAGGACUCAGCCUUGCCUCGGCUUGGUGCACUUCCUAGUAAACGGGCCAGCAUCACUUUUGGCUGCGGGAAAAAGGUCAGAGGAAUGUGGCACCUUCGGGUGUGUUAUAGCCUCUGGCUGCAUACCGUGGCUGGGAGUGAGGAACUCAGCACGCCUUACGGCGGGGCUUCGGCCACCUUCGUGCUUAGGAUGCUGGCGUAAUGGCUUUAAACGACCCGUCUUGAAACACGGACCAAGGAGUCUAACAUGCCUGCGAGUGUUUGGGUGGAAAACCCGAGCGCGUAAUGAAAGUGAAAGUUGGGACCUCUGUCGUGGAGGGCACCGACGCCCGGACCAGACCUUCGGUGACGGAUCUGCGGUAGAGCAUGUAUGUUGGGACCCGAAAGAUGGUGAACUAUCCUGAAUAGGGUGAACCAGAGGAAACUCUGGUGGAAGCUCGUAGCGAUUCUGACCUGCAAAUCGAUCGUCAAAUUUGGGUAUAGGGGCGAAAGACUAAUCGAACCAUCUAGUAGCU
This 925-nucleotide ribosomal RNA is filed under the name Phanerochaete velutina. RNAcentral's name for it is "eukaryotic LSU rRNA". It matches the Rfam family "Eukaryotic large subunit ribosomal RNA", at positions 38 to 952 of the family's 3401-position model. Lineage: Eukaryota; Fungi; Basidiomycota; Agaricomycetes; Polyporales; Phanerochaetaceae. The record is from RNAcentral.